This 497-nucleotide ribosomal RNA is filed under the name uncultured bacterium. Its description in RNAcentral is "partial 16S ribosomal RNA". It matches the Rfam family "Bacterial small subunit ribosomal RNA", at positions 28 to 507 of the family's 1533-position model. The record is from RNAcentral.
GAUGAACGCUGGCGGCGUGCCUAAUACAUGCAAGUCGAACGAACAGACGAGGUGGUUGCUCCUCGGACGUUAGCGGCGGACGUGAGAGUAACACGUGGAUAACCUACCUAUAAGACUGCUAUAACUUCGGGAAACCGGAGCUAAUACCGGAUACUAUAUUGAACCGCAUGGUUCAAUAGUUAAAGACGGUUUUGCUGUCACUUAUACAUGGAUCCGCGCCGCAUGAGCUAGUUGGUAAGGUAACGGCUUACGAAGGCGACGAUGCGUAGCCGACCUGAGAGCGGGAUCGGCGACACUGGGACCGAGCCGCGGUCCUGGCUCCGACGGGAGGCAGAAGUAGCGAAUCUACCGAGAUGGGCGGAAGCCUGAAGGAGCAACGCCGGGCGAGUGAUGAAGGUCCUCGGAUCGUAAGACUGUGUUAGUAGGGAAGAACAAAUGUGUAAGUAACUAUGCUCGUCUUGACGGUACCUAAACAGAAAGCAACGGCUAACUACGUG